This 20-nucleotide non-coding RNA is filed under the name Arabidopsis thaliana (thale cress). Lineage: Eukaryota; Viridiplantae; Streptophyta; Magnoliopsida; Brassicales; Brassicaceae. The record is from RNAcentral.
UUUGAAGAAGCUGCGUCAAA